This 529-nucleotide ribosomal RNA is filed under the name uncultured bacterium. RNAcentral describes it as "bacterial SSU rRNA". It matches the Rfam family "Bacterial small subunit ribosomal RNA", at positions 29 to 458 of the family's 1533-position model. The record is from RNAcentral.
AGUGAACGCUGGCGGCGUGCCUAACACAUGCAAGUCGAACGGGCUAGUGCUUCGCACUAGUCUCUUUCUGGGGUUGCUACUCUAAGGCUACCUGCUAAAGUUAUUGCUUUAAAGCAGGGGUUUUAGGGGACCUUCCCCAAAAGGGGCCAGUGCGGAGCACUGGCCAGUGGCGAACGGGUGAGUAACACGUGGGUAAUCUGCCCUCGAGUGGGGAAUAAGCUCCCGAAAGGGGGUCUAAUACCGCAUGACGUUUCAUAACGAUGGUUAUGAAACCAAAGCCAAAAGGCGCUUGAGGAGGAGCCUGCGUCCUAUCAGCUUGUUGGCAGGGUAAUGGCCUACCAAAGGCUAUGACGGGUAGCCGGCCUGAGAGGGUGUCCGGCCACACUGGAACUGAGACACGGUCCAGACUCCUACGGGAGGCAGCAGUGGGGAAUUUUGCGCAAUGGGGGAAAACCCGUGACGCAGCGACGCCGCCGUGGAGGAGUGACGGCCGUCGUGUAGUACGUACGUACGUACGUACGUAACGGAA